CGCGUAGGUGGUAGUGUAAGCCUGGGGUGGAAUCCCAGGGCUCAACCCUGGAACUGCCUUGGAAACUGCAUUACUUGAGUCAGUGAGGGGAGGGUAGAAUUCCUGGUGUAGCGGUGAAAUGCGUAGAUAUCAGGAGGAAGGCCUGUGGCGAAGGCGGCCCUCUGGCGCUGGACUGACACUGAGGCGCGAAAGCGUGGGGAGCAAACAGGAUUAGAUACCCUGGUAGUCCACGCCCUAAACGGUGGGCACUAGGUGUAGGGCUCGUAAGGGUUCUGUGCCGAAGGGAAACCAUUAAGUGCCCCGCCUGGGGAGUACGGCCGCAAGGUUGAA
RNAcentral lists this ribosomal RNA (330 nucleotides) under uncultured bacterium. Its description in RNAcentral is "bacterial SSU rRNA". It matches the Rfam family "Bacterial small subunit ribosomal RNA", at positions 568 to 898 of the family's 1533-position model. The record is from RNAcentral.